RNAcentral lists this small nucleolar RNA (114 nucleotides) under Myotis lucifugus (little brown bat). RNAcentral describes it as "Small nucleolar RNA SNORA42/SNORA80 family". It matches the Rfam family "Small nucleolar RNA SNORA42/SNORA80 family", at positions 24 to 136 of the family's 136-position model. Rfam says of the family: The members of this family belong to the H/ACA class of snoRNAs that guide the sites of modification of uridines to pseudouridines. Human ACA42 (SNORA42) was cloned from HeLa cells by immunoprecipitation with anti-GAR1 antibody. Lineage: Eukaryota; Metazoa; Chordata; Mammalia; Chiroptera; Vespertilionidae. RNAcentral also lists the same sequence under 1 other name. The record is from Rfam by way of RNAcentral.
AUAUGUGUCUAUGGGCCUCUCAUAGUGGACCCAUGCCAGAGGAAGUUGCAGCCUCAAACCAUUGCCCAGCCUCCUUACCCUUGGGCUGUGAGCACUGAAGGGGGCUGUACAGUA